Molecule: ribosomal RNA, 1236 nt
Filed under: metagenome
Description: bacterial LSU rRNA
Rfam family: Bacterial large subunit ribosomal RNA
Source: RNAcentral
UGAGUACGAGACGCUAAGGCGUUGAAGCAGUCUAUGUCAGACUUCCAAGAAAAGCUCGCAAUGUCAUAAACAAAGAAUGCCUGUACCAUAACCGACACAGGUGGGUAGGUAGAGUAUACUAAGGGGCGCGAGAUAACUCUCUCUAAGGAACUCGGCAAAAUGACUCCGUAACUUCGGGAGAAGGAGUGCCUUAUUUUUAUAAGGUUGCAAUAACAAGAUCCAAGCAACUGUUUACCAAAAACACAGGUCUCCGCUAAGUCGUAAGACGAUGUAUGGGGGCUGACGCCUGCCCAGUGCCAGAAGGUUAAAGAAGUUGGUUAGUUUCGGCGAAGCUGAUGACUGAAGCCCUGGUGAACGGCGGCCGUAACAAUAACGGUCCUAAGGUAGCGAAAUUCCUUGUCGGGUAAGUUCCGACCCGCACGAAAGGCGUAAUGAUUUGGAUACUGUCUCGGAGAGGGGCUCGGUGAAAUAGACUUGUCUGUGAAGAUGCGGACUACCUGCACCUGGACAGAAAGACCCUAUGAAGCUUUACUGUAACUUGAGAUUGAAAUUGGACUUUAUUUGCGCAGUAUAGGUGGGAGACGUUGAGAAUAUUCUUGCGGGAAUAUUGGAGUCAUCAGUGAGAUACCACUCUUGUAAUGUUAGAUUUCUAACUUUGUAUCAUUAUCUGGUCAAAGGACAGUUUCAGGCGGGCAGUUUGACUGGGGCGGUCGCCUCCCAAACGGUAACGGAGGCGCACAAAGGUUUCCUCUGAACGUGUAGAAAUUGUAUCUAGAGUGUAAAGGCAUAAGGAAGCUUGACUGUGAGACCUACAAGUCGAGCAGGGACGAAAGUCGGUCUUAGUGAUCUGACGGUGCUGAGUGGAAAGGCCGUCACUCAACGGAUAAAAGUUACUCUAGGAUAACAGGCUGAUCUCCCCCAAGAGUUCACAUCGACGGGGAGGUUUGGCACCUCGAUGUCGGCUCAUCGCAUCCUGGGGCGGUAGUACGUCCCAAGGGUUGGGCUGUUCGCCCAUGAAAGCGGUACGCGAGCUGGGUUCAGAACGUCGUGAGACAGUUCGGUCCAUAUCCGGUGUAGGCGUUAGAAUAUUGAGAGGAGCCUUCUUUAGUACGAGAGGACCGAGAAGGACAUACCUCUGGUGUACCAGUUAUCGUGCCAACGGUAAACGCUGGGUAGCUAUGUAUGGAGUGGAUAACCGCUGAAAGCAUCUAAGUGGGAAGCCCACCUCAAGAUAAG